CCUACGGGUGGCAGCAGUGAGGAAUAUUGGUCAAUGGCCGAGAGGCUGAACCAGCCAAGUCGCGUGAGGGAAGACUGCCCUAUGGUUUUUAAACCUCUUUUGUCAGGGAGCAACGCCGGCUACGUGUAGCCGUACUGAGAGUACCUGACGACAAAGCAUCGGCUAACUACGUGCCAGCAGCCGCGGGAAUACGGAGGAUGCGAGCGUUAUCCGGAUUGAUUGGGUUUAAAGGUUGCGUAGGCGGAAUGUCAAGUCAGCGGUAAAAUCGCGGGGCUCAACCUCGCUCCGCCGUUGAAACUGGAGUUCUUGAGUGGGGGAGAAGUAUGCGGAAUGCGUGGUGUAGCGGUGAAAUGCAUAGAUA
This 361-nucleotide ribosomal RNA is filed under the name uncultured bacterium. Its description in RNAcentral is "partial 16S ribosomal RNA". It matches the Rfam family "Bacterial small subunit ribosomal RNA", at positions 338 to 696 of the family's 1533-position model. The record is from RNAcentral.